GUGCCAGCCGCCGCGGUAAUACGUAGGUGGCAAGCGUUGUCCGGAUUUAUUGGGUUUAAAGGGUGCGUAGGCGGCCCUGUAAGUCAGUUGUGAAAUACGGCAGCUUAACUGUCGAGGUGCAAUUGAUACUGCAGGGCUUGAGUACUGAUGAGGUAGGCGGAAUGGACGGUGUAGCGGUGAAAUGCUUAGAGAUCGUCCAGAACACCGAUAGCGAAGGCAGCUUACUAAGGAGUAACUGACGCUGAGGCACGAAAGUGUGGGGAUCAAACAGGAUUAGAAACCCGCGUAGUCC
RNAcentral lists this ribosomal RNA (292 nucleotides) under uncultured bacterium. Its description in RNAcentral is "partial 16S ribosomal RNA". It matches the Rfam family "Bacterial small subunit ribosomal RNA", at positions 505 to 796 of the family's 1533-position model. The record is from RNAcentral.